This 6913-nucleotide long non-coding RNA is filed under the name Homo sapiens (human). Its description in RNAcentral is "HSALNT0302955". The record is from RNAcentral. Lineage: Eukaryota; Metazoa; Chordata; Mammalia; Primates; Hominidae.
UAAAUUGAUUUCCUCUGCGCUGUAAUGCUCAUGAAAUAUGAAGAGUCUUGGUCCAGGGCAUCUCCCCAUAGUACCUGGGGUGUUCUGAGCACACAGGGCACUCUCCACACAUAAGGUGGUGCCAACAGCUGCCGGACACAGGAGAGGCAGCCCAGGCUACUGCAGUCACAUGGUAAUGUCACGUGCCAUAAACACAUAAGAAAGCCAGGGGAUGCUCCCAGGAAGUUGCAGGGUAUCAGCCAGAGUCCCAGAAGGAAGAUGGCAUUCCCAAAGGGUUUAGCUGAAGGGAUUUUAAUGAGGGGAUGAUUUAUAGAGAGGUGGGCAGAUUUCACAGAACCACAAAAGAUGGUGAGAUACCCAGGAACCUCACCAUCCUGGGACUGUGUAUUCAUAGGUUUGUCACCAAAUUUUUGCUAAAACUCAAGGUGCAUAUUAUUGGGGUGCUAUUUGGCAUAGAAAACAUUUGUCCAGGAAAUUUUCUAAUAUCAUGUCAAGUUAAACAUAAUUCAUUGCAAAUAAGAGGUACAAGGCAUAGUAUAAUAGCAAGCUAGCACAAACAAAAUUUGUAGACUUGCUAAAACAUGGGAGAACAGCGUAGGCCAGAAUAACAGUGAUUAAGAGUUCAGGCUCUGGUGCUGGAGUCCCUGGGUUCAAAUCCUUACUAGCUAUGGGAUCAUAAGUGAAUUUACUCAUGUGUAAAAUAGAGGUAAUAUUACUUAUCCCAUAAAUUGUUAUGAGGAUUAAAGGAUUAAAUGCAAUAUUUGUAAGAUGCUUAGAACUUUACUGGCACAUAAAUACUAGCAUUAUCUACAAAAUUAUACUACCCUUCCUCCGUUCACUCAAUAAAUAUAUAGUCAGGAGCCACAUAACAAUGUUUCAGUGAAUGAGGGACCACAUAUACAAUGGUGAUUUCUUAAGAUUAUAGUAUCAUAUUUUUAUGUAUCUUUUCUAUGUUUAGAUGUGCUUAGAUACACAAAUACUACUAUGUUACAAUUGCCCACAUUAUUCAGUACAGUAACGUACUAUAGGUGUUUGUAGCCUAGGAACCAUAGGCUAGACCAGAUAGUCUAGGUGUGUAGCAGGCUACACCAUUUAGGUUUGUGUAAGUAUACUCUGAUGCUCUCAUUACGAAACUGCCUAACAAUGCAUUCUUUAGUAGGUAUCCCCGUUGUUAAGUCACACAUGACUGUGUAUUAAAUAUUUACUAUAGGCAUCAUCCUAGGCUCUGGGGAAAGUGGUAAGAAAAAAAAGACUACCUUUCCUGAUGGACUGGGAAGAAAACAUUAACUAAUAAUCACACACAGAAAUAAAAUCAAAACCAUGAGUGGUGGUGCUUGGAGCCAUAAGAGCUGGUAAUGACUAUACAGGGGUAGGCCUUCUUGAGGAAGUGACAUUUACCUAUGACCUAGAUGAGUUUACUAGGGAAAGUUCAUUAGGUAAAGAUGAGAGGGGGAAAAAUACCAGGCAGAGGAAGCACUAUGUCCUCUGUGGCAGAAAGGAUCAUGGCAGGCAUAUUAGUCAGGACCCAGCCAGGAAAGCAAAACCCACUCUAGGUGAUUUGAUAGAGGGAAUUUCAUACGGGGAGUCAGAGGAGUUGAAAGAGCUCCCAGGGGAACCCUGAGAGUAGCAACUCCAGGAAGCUGGGACUACUGUAUUUGUUUGCUAGGGCUGCAGUAACAAAGUGCCACAGACUGGGUGGCUUCACACAGAAAGUUAUUGUCUCAGAGUUCUGAAGGCUGGAAGUCCAAAAUCAAGGUGUCAGAAGGGGUAGUUCCUUUUGAGGCCUAUGAGGGAAGGAUCUGUUCCACGCCUCUUUCCUUGACUUGUAGAUGACCAUUUUCACCUAUGUCUCUUCACAUCGUCUUCCCUCUGUGUGUGUCUAUCUCUGUCCAAACUUCCCCUUUUUAUAAGGACAACAUUCAUAUUGGAUUAGGGUCCACCCUAAUGACCUCACUUUAAUUCGGCUACUCUAUAAAGACCACAACCCUAAAUAAGGUCACACUCUAAAGUACUGGGGGUUAGAACUUCAACACAUGAACUUGCAGGGGAGACACAAUUCAACCCAUAGCACCACCCUGGAAGCUGGAGAACAAGGAAAGAAACAGUUUCUGGAGCCUAAGACAAGAUAAGCUGGAACAAAGAGGGCCUGCCAAGAUGGGUAGCAGGGAUCACACAGAGAUGGCUGUGUAGUGGGAACUGCAGCCACAGAAGAGACUCCUGAGAAAGAGAAGCAGGAGAAGUACUCUGGCUUCUCCUUCCUUCACCUCCAAUAUCUUUUGCCCUCCCUCACUCCCCAUUGGCUGAACUUUACUGGAAGGCAGUUGGCUCUGGAGCCUGGAACAGCCCCCAGUGACACAGAGCAGAUCGGGGGACCACGGGAUGGGAAGGGUGGACAUGGCUCUGACAGCAACAAUGUAACACCCAUGCAACGAGUCUGCGAGGCCGAAUGGAAGCCAGCUGGCUGCAGGGGAGAGAGCAAGAGAGUCUGGCAGAAGGUGCACCUGGAGAAGGAAGUAGAGGCCAGGCCAGGAAACUACAGAGGCCCUUUGGUGCUCCCCAGCUCUCCUUGUUUUCCUGUUUCUAAGCAUCUGAGUGCAUCCUGAUAGCUGUGGACAGCAGAGAUUUGGAACAGGAGAUUGAAGAAGUCUCAUCUACUGCCAUGCUUGGCACAUAGUAGGCACUCAACACAUGCUAGACUCUCCCCACCUCCUGUUGCUUCUUGGCACCAGGCUUCACUCUGGACAAGAGUUAACAUCUCAUCCUUUACCCAUGUCUUCUUUGACUGAACAUCUCGCUAUUAGUGGGAGAUGGGUCAAAGAAGUAUUCACUCAUCCUUUCAUCCAACAAUACUGACAGAGCACCUGCCCUGUGCCAGGCUCAGCCAGAGGCUGGAGAUAAAGACAUGAAUGAGACCCCUGGUGACGGGUGAGAGACAAAGCAAAGGGCUCAUUUCCAUAGAGGAUGAUGGGGAUUCACAUAUGGGGUUGGGCAAGGCACACAAUAGAGCAGGGUGAUAUGGUUGGCUUUGUGUCCCCACCCAAAUCUCGUCUUGAAUUGUAGUUACCAUAAUCCCCAUGUGUCAUAGGAGGGACCUGGUGGGAGGUAAUUGAAUCAUGGAAAUGGUUUCCACCAUGCUGUUCUUGUGAUAGUGAGUGAGUUCUCAUGAGAGCUGAUGGUUUUAUAAGGGGCUUUUCCCCUCUUCACAUUGGACUACUCUCUCCUGCUGCCACGUGAAGAAGGCCAUGUUUGCUUCCCCUUCUGCCAUGACUAUAAGUUUCCUGAGGCCUCCCCAGCCAUGUGAAACUGUAAGUCAAUUAAAUCUUUUUUAAAUAAAUUACCCAUUCUUGGGUAUGUUCUUAUAGCAGCAUGAGAAUGAACUAAUACACAGGGUGACAUGAGAAGGCUUCCUGGGAGACAGUGCCUGAGCUGAUCUCUGAUGAGAAAGUAAGAGGAGGACAUUCCAGGUACAGGGAACAACAUGUGCAAACACACAAGGCUGAAGUAAACAAACAGGAAGCUGUGAAAAAGGACAGUGAUGAAUGACUAGCCCAACAGGGUAAUUUUGACCCCCAGGGUACAUUUGGCAACAACUGGAGACUUUUUGUUUGCUUUCCACAAUUGUGUGUGUGUGCAUGUAUGCACAUGUGUGUGCAAGUGUCUGCUACUGGCAUCUAAUAGGUAGAGGUCAGGGAUGCUGCCGAACAUCCUACAGUGCACAAGAUAGCCCCCCAUGACAAAGAAUUAUAUCUGGCCCAAGAUGUUGAGAAACCCUGGACUAGAACAACAAACAUAAAAACAUAUUAUAGUACUUUGACAAUUAAAACUUCAUAGUACUAGCACAUGAAUAGAUAGAGAGACCAAUGGAACAGUUUAAGAAUAUAAAUAUAUACAGGAAUUUAGCAUAUGAUAAAGGAAGCAUUCCAAAUUCAGUGAGAAUUCAAUAAGUGUUGUUGAGAUUCCUGGGUAGCCAUCUUGAAAAACAUUGAGCUGGAGCUAUACCUCACACCAUAUAUCAGAAUAAAUUCCACAUGGAUUAAACAUUUAAAGGUAAACAAUAAAACCACACAAGUACCAAGAGAAAAUGUGGGAGAAAUCUUUCAUAAUCUUAGAGUGGGAAAGUCUUUCCUAAUCCUGACUCACAAAUCAGGAACUAUAAAAUAGGAAAUUGAUUAAGUCAACUAAUAAAAGUUGAAAAAAACUUUUUAAGCUCUUGCAUGUGAAACAAACAAAAAUCAAACCUGUAUAUAAGCAAAGUCGAAAACAAAUGCAAAUCUGUAAAGGAUACACAAAACUCAGCAAAGGGCUAAUUUCUUUAAAUUAUAAAGAUACAUAAACCUCUAAAGAAAAGACCAAUGAAAAUACGAGCAAAGCAUGUGAAAAAGUGGCUUAUAGAACAAUAAUGAAAAUAAAUACAAAUGGCUAGUAAACAUAUGAAAAGAUGUUCAACCUCUUCAUGAUAAGAAAAAUGCAAAUUAAAAGUACUGACAUGCCUUGUUUUUUUUUGUUCAUUUCUCACAUUUGCAAAAACCCAAAUUUGAAAAUACGCAGACAUUUCCAUAUAUUGCUGGUGGGUAUGUCAACUAGUACAGCCCCUAGGAGGGCGAUUUAGCAAUAUUUACCAAAAUAGCAAAUGCAUAUAUCAUCUAACCCAGCAAUCUCACUUCUUAGAGCUUACUCCACAGAUACAUAUAUUUGCAUGCAUAUGAAGUGCUAUACAUACAAGGUUAUAAAUUGCAGCAAACGAUUAGAAACAAUUUAAAUGCUCGUUAAUAAGGAACUGGUUAAAUAAGUUAGAGGUUGGCAAACUACCAUCAGGGCCCAAAUCUGGCCUUCUUCCUGUUACUGUAGGACUUUCAAGGGAAAAAUCGUUUUAACAUGUUUAAAUGGUUGAAAAAAAUCAAAAGAGAAUUACAUUUUGUGACACAUGAACAUUAUAUAAAAUUCUAAAAUCAGAGUCCAUAAAUAAAGUUUUAUUGGAACACAGCCAUGCUCCUUUGUUUACACAUGGUCUCUGACUUCUUUUGCACCUUAACAGAGAACUGAGCAGUUUCCCAAGAGACUCGCUGUCCCACAAAUCCUAAAAUAUUUACUAUUUGGCCCUUUAUAGAAAAUUUUGCUGGAUUGGAGUAUAUCCAUGCAGUUGAAUACACGGCUACAAAAAAACAAUUUAAAAAACUCUGUAUGUAUUGCUACAGAAAGGUUUCCAGGCUAUAUUACUAAAUUUUAAACAAGCAGACAAGAAAAGUGUAAAUUGCAUGUUAUCAUUUGGAUUAAAAGGCGGGAUAUAUUUGUAUUUUAUUAUAAUAUGCAUAAAACUUAUCUGGAAGCAAAUACAAGAAAUUAGUAAGCAGUGACUGUCUCUGGGGGAAUGAGAUUGGUGAACUUGAAACAGAGGAAGAACAAAACUGUGUGUAUGAAGUAUAUUAAUAAUUAUUUUUAAAACUAUACAGUGGGUAGGAUUUACAUACAAUGAAAUAUUAUUUAGCCUUAAAAGAGAAGGAAAUUCUGACAUGAGUGAACCUUGAGGAUAUCAUGCUUAGCAAUGUCAAUCACAAAAGGACAAAUAUUUUAUGAUUCCACUUACAGGAGGCACCUGGAGUAGUGAAAUAAUAAAGACAGAAAGUAAAAUGGUAGUUAGUUUUCAGGGGUUGGGGAGAAAAAGGAAUGGAAAGUUAGUGGGUACAGAGCUUCAGUCGCGGAAAAAGUUCUGGAGAUGGAUGGUGGUGAUAGUUGUACAACAAUGUGAAUGCACUUACUGCCACAGAACUGUAUACUUAAAAAUGGCUAAAAUGGCCAAUUUUAUGUUAUUUAUAUUUUAUCACAAUAUUAAAAAUAUCUAGGCCAGGAAAAAAAUAAAAACACACAGUCGUAAAUAAGAGCACAGAUUCAUUUCGCUAAAAAGUUGUUCGGCCCGGCUUUGCGGGUGAUGAGGCUGGAGGUGUCUGCAUGGCCUGAUGAGAAAGCACUUGUAUUCUGGCCUAAGGAGUUUGCAUUUUGCAUGUCCUGAGGACAAUAAGGAGUAACAGGAUCCAUUUUGUUAAAAAACAAAAUUCUGGAAACAAGAAAAGAAUGGACAGAAGAGGCUUGGGUGGGCAGGGAAAGAAGAGGGAGAUCUAAACUCUGACUUUUUUUUUAUCUUCCCCAAAUUCCUACCUAAGGGGCCUCGGGAGUCACACCCUACAAACCAUACAGUCUCAUCAGAGGGUUUUUUGUUUGUUUGUUUUUGUUUUUUUGAGACAGAGUCUCGCUCUGUUGCCCAGGCUGGAGUGCAGUUCUGUGAUCUUGGCUCACUGCAACCUCCACCUCCCAGGUUCCAGCGAUUCUGUGCCUCAGCCUCCCAAGUAACUGGGAUUACAGGUGUGUGCCACCACACCUGGCUAAUUUUUGUAUUUUUAGUAGAGACAGGGUUUCACCAUGUUGGCCAGGCUGGUCUGGAACCCCUGACCUCAAGUGAUCCACCCACCUCAGCCUCCCAAAGUGCUGAGAUUACAGGCGUGAGCCACCGUGCACUGCGUAGAAGGAUUUUUAUUUAACCCCCCUAUAUAAGGUGGUCUGCUUUCCAACCUGGCUCUGGCAUAACAUCACAUAACAAAUAAGGAAGGAAAUAUAAAUAUUUAAACCCCAAAUAUAUUUUCUUGCCAUAUCUUGAAAUUGCCUGGCAAGGUUGUCUCUUGUGGGAAAAAUCUAUGGAGAAUCUAUAGAGAUUCUAUGGAGAUUUCCCUUCCCCUCCCCUCCUUUUUCCUCUUUCUUUCCAGACCCAGGAGAUACUCAACUAAGAGCCAGGUAACCUUUUAAGUGGGAUAAGAAACAUUUUACAACCUGCUCUCUCUGAAGUCUGCUGAAAGCUUCUUCAGAACAAUAAAACUUGGUCACCACCAUCCUUUAUCUUAACCUAAACAUUUCCUUUCUAUUG